Molecule: ribosomal RNA, 831 nt
Filed under: Bacillus subtilis
Lineage: Bacteria; Bacillati; Bacillota; Bacilli; Caryophanales; Bacillaceae
Description: bacterial SSU rRNA
Rfam family: Bacterial small subunit ribosomal RNA
Source: RNAcentral
UCGAGCGGACAGAUGGGAGCUUGCUCCCUGAUGUUAGCGGCGGACGGGUGAGUAACACGUGGGUAACCUGCCUGUAAGACUGGGAUAACUCCGGGAAACCGGGGCUAAUACCGGAUGCUUGUUUGAACCGCAUGGUUCAAACAUAAAAGGUGGCUUCGGCUACCACUUACAGAUGGACCCGCGGCGCAUUAGCUAGUUGGUGAGGUAAUGGCUCACCAAGGCAACGAUGCGUAGCCGACCUGAGAGGGUGAUCGGCCACACUGGGACUGAGACACGGCCCAGACUCCUACGGGAGGCAGCAGUAGGGAAUCUUCCGCAAUGGACGAAAGUCUGACGGAGCAACGCCGCGUGAGUGAUGAAGGUUUUCGGAUCGUAAAGCUCUGUUGUUAGGGAAGAACAAGUACCGUUCGAAUAGGGCGGUACCUUGACGGUACCUAACCAGAAAGCCACGGCUAACUACGUGCCAGCAGCCGCGGUAAUACGUAGGUGGCAAGCGUUGUCCGGAAUUAUUGGGCGUAAAGGGCUCGCAGGCGGUUUCUUAAGUCUGAUGUGAAAGCCCCCGGCUCAACCGGGGAGGGUCAUUGGAAACUGGGGAACUUGAGUGCAGAAGAGGAGAGUGGAAUUCCACGUGUAGCGGUGAAAUGCGUAGAGAUGUGGAGGAACACCAGUGGCGAAGGCGACUCUCUGGUCUGUAACUGACGCUGAGGAGCGAAAGCGUGGGGAGCGAACAGGAUUAGAUACCCUGGUAGUCCACGCCGUAAACGAUGAGUGCUAAGUGUUAGGGGGGUUUCCGCCCCUUAGUGCUGCAGCUAACGCAUUAAGCACUCCGCC